Nicotiana tabacum (common tobacco) is the source of this 279-nucleotide non-coding RNA. The record is from RefSeq and is a predicted model, not a curated record. NCBI's taxonomy places the organism in Eukaryota, Viridiplantae, Streptophyta, Magnoliopsida, Solanales, Solanaceae.
GCGGUGAAAGCAUAAAACCGCCGGCGAAAACACUAAAACGGGUCUUUUCCCUCAGUCUAAAAAGCUCACUCUCCCGGAGUUAAAUCACCGGCCAUCUGCAGAACUGGACUCCGGCGACCGUCCGUACAUUUCUCAGCCGUGACAGAGGUGGCGGCGGGUAUAUUGGAUGGGAUAUGACGGAGCCACCAUCGCCGCCGUUGAAGGACAACAAGGUGCUCAAAGGAGUUUUUGCAGUGGGUGGAAUCUUGUCUACUCUCGUCAUCUACGGAAUCUUACAGG